RNAcentral lists this ribosomal RNA (467 nucleotides) under uncultured bacterium. RNAcentral describes it as "partial 16S ribosomal RNA". It matches the Rfam family "Bacterial small subunit ribosomal RNA", at positions 29 to 507 of the family's 1533-position model. The record is from RNAcentral.
ACGCACGCUGGCGGCGUGCUUCACACAUGCAAGUCGCACGGAAAGGCCCUGCUUUCGUGGGGUGCUCGAGUGGCGAACGGGUGAGUAACACGUGAGUAACCUGCCCUUGACUUUGGGAUAACUUCAGGAAACUGGGGCUAAUACCGGAUAGGAGCUCCUGCUGCAUGGUGGGGGUUGGAAAGUUUCGGCGGUUGGGGAUGGACUCGCGGCUUAUCAGCUUGUUGGUGGGGUAGUGGCUUACCAAGGCUUUGACGGGUAGCCGGCCUGAGAGGGUGACCGGCCACAUUGGGACUGAGAUACGGCCCAGACUCCUACGGGAGGCAGCAGUGGGGAAUAUUGCACAAUGGGCGGAAGCCUGAUGCAGCAACGCCGCGUGCGGGAUGACGGCCUUCGGGUUGUAAACCGCUUUCGCCUGUGACGAAGCGUGAGUGACGGUAAUGGGUAAAGAAGCACCGGCUAACUACGUG